Long non-coding RNA from Uloborus diversus, 331 nucleotides. RefSeq lists it as uncharacterized. NCBI's taxonomy places the organism in Eukaryota, Metazoa, Arthropoda, Arachnida, Araneae, Uloboridae. The record is from RefSeq and is a predicted model, not a curated record. The transcript is spliced from 3 exons.
CGGAGCGAUCGAAAUGGCUGAUCUCUGUUCGUCAAGAAAAAACAAGAUUGGAAAUUGGAAGAGUUUUCAUCGAACUUUGAAACGAACCUUUCGAGAGAUAUGGUAUCUCCAACAUUAUCACAUUGCUGAAGGUUGUAAAGGCCAAAAAUGACAAAGAUAUUUAUUUAAUAUUUGAUUUUAUGGGUAUGUGAAUUACAUUUUCGCAAAGAAGACAUUCUUCAUGAAGCAGAAUUCUUCGAUGAAAAGUCGAUGAGACUUCUAAAGAGUGAAAUAUUUGGUAUGUCCCACAAUGACUCAAAUGCUGCAUCCAGUGCUUUCACAUUUAUGAUCC